CCAGCCGGUGGAUGGCUCGGCUCGGGCGCCGAAGAAGGCCGUGGCAAGCUGCGAUAAGCCCCGGCGAGGCGCACGCAGCCUUCGAACCGGGGAUCGCCGAAUUGUGCCGACGAGGCACGGGAACGCGGGGAACUGAAGCAUCUUAGUACCCGCAGGAAAAGAAAGCAAAACGCGAUGCCGUGAGUAGGGGCGACCGAAAGCGGCACAGCCCAAACCGAACCCCUGGCCGAAAGGCCAGGGGGAUGUGGGGUGAACUGGGCCGGGAUACCCCCUCCCCGGGGAAGCCGAACUCCGGUGGAAGUCCGGGGCCGUAGAGGGCGACAGCCCCGUAGGCGUAACCUGGGUGGGGGAUUUCCCGGAUCCCCGAGUACCGGGCGUUGGUAUUCGCUCGGGAAGUAGGGGGUUACCAGCCCCCAAGGCUAAAUACGUCCCGAGGCCGAUAGCGCACCAGUACCGUGAGGGAAAGCUGAAAAGCACCCCUGAACGGGGGGUGAAAAGUGCCUGAAACCGGCUGGGGAUAGCAUGGCGCGGCGGGAAAGGGCAAUCCCGGCGAAGGAACCCGCCGCGAGGCGGUAGUACGAGUCGGGAUACCGCCGUCGCGCCGUCAGUCGUGAAUCACUGGCCAGGGAGUUUACCCGAGUGGCGAGCCUAAGGGGGUCAGCCCCGGAGGCGGAGGGAAACCGAGAGUCCCGCAGCCCUUCCGGGCGAGGGGACCGGGUCUCAAAAGGGCCCAAAGUCACUCGGGUAAGACCCGAAGCCCGGUGAUCUAGGCCGAGGCAGGGUGAAGCGGGCUCGCAGGCCCGUGGAGGCCCGCAUCCGGUGCUGGGAAAACCGCUCGGGUGACCUCGGUCUAGGGGCGAAAGACCACGCGAACCGGGCGAUAGCGGGCACCCGCCGAAAUAGCGCCCCAGGCUAGCCCGACCGGAGGUUGCCUGGUGGGUAGAGCGACUGACUGGGGUGGCACGGGGCGAAAGCCUCACCACCCUUGUCAAACUCCAAACCGCCAGGCUCCGUAGAAGGUCGGAGUCGGGGACGGUGGGGUAAGCCUCCGUUCCGAGAGGGGAACAACCCAGACCCGGGUUAAGGCCCCCAAGAGCCGGCUAAGUGCGUCAAAGGUGGUCCCCCUCCUGAGACAGCGAGGAGGUAGGCUUAGAAGCAGCCAUCCUCUAAGGAGUGCGUAACAGCUCACCCGCCGAGGAGGGGGGCGCCG
RNAcentral lists this ribosomal RNA (1210 nucleotides) under Methanobacteriota archaeon. RNAcentral describes it as "partial 23S ribosomal RNA". It matches the Rfam family "Archaeal large subunit ribosomal RNA", at positions 18 to 1252 of the family's 2987-position model. The record is from RNAcentral. Lineage: Archaea; Methanobacteriati; Methanobacteriota.